UCCAUCCCAACAUCUACAGACAGACAAGAGUGGUUGUUCCACUUUUACGGUGGAUACAGUGGAUCUGGCACUGGCCAACUCUGACUACCAGGAAUUUUUGACAACUUCAUUCAAGCUGCAGGAAGAAGCAACAGGAGCCACAAUCUGGGAAUCUGCCAACACCAGCAUCACUGCGGAGCAAGUGUUGAUGGAAUUUGUUGAUUUCAAUCCAUUCUACAAACCUGGAUUCCCAUAUACAGGCAAGAUGCACUGUUGCAUCGGUGACUUUCCCCUCCAAAACAAAACUGUUUACCUGACUGUGGACGUCAAUGAUGUGGAGACCCAUUGGUCAUAAGUCACAGAUGAGAACGGUGAUCCUAUUUCUUGCUAAACACAACCCACUGGAAUGACACUCUGGUUUCUCUGAGGGGUCCCUGAUGACCGCAUUCAUAUGGUUGUGUGCUGCCUGGCGCUGACCCCCUCGCUGCACAUCUGUGUGCUUAAGGGCAGG
Gavialis gangeticus (Gharial) is the source of this 490-nucleotide long non-coding RNA. RefSeq lists it as uncharacterized. The record is from RefSeq and is a predicted model, not a curated record. The transcript is spliced from 4 exons. Lineage: Eukaryota; Metazoa; Chordata; Crocodylia; Gavialidae.